RNAcentral lists this ribosomal RNA (375 nucleotides) under uncultured bacterium. RNAcentral describes it as "bacterial SSU rRNA". It matches the Rfam family "Bacterial small subunit ribosomal RNA", at positions 523 to 898 of the family's 1533-position model. The record is from RNAcentral.
AUACGUAGGGGGCAAGCGUUGUCCGGAAUUAUUGGGCGUAAAGCGCGCGCAGGCGGCCUGUUAAGUCUGGUGUGAAAGACCACGGCUCAACCGAGGGGUGGCAUCAGAAACUGGCGGGCUUGAGUGCAGGAGAGGAGAGUGGAAUUCCCGGUGUAGCGGUGGAAUGCGUAGAGAUCGGGAGGAACACCAGUGGCGAAGGCGACUCUCUGGCCUGUAACUGACGCUGAGGCGCGAAAGCGUGGGGAGCGAACAGGAUUAGAUACCCUGGUAGUCCACGCCGGAAACGAUGAGUGCUAGGUGUUGGGGGUCUCCGCCCUCGGUGCCGAAGGUAACCCAAUAAGCACUCCGCCUGGGGAGUACGGCCGCAAGGCUGAA